CCUUAUACACACCGCCCGUCACACCAUGGGAGUUGUUUGGACCCGAAGCCGCCUGGCCAACCCGCAAGGGAAGUAAGCGUCUAAGGUCUGGACAGUGACUGGGGUG
This 106-nucleotide ribosomal RNA is filed under the name uncultured bacterium. RNAcentral's name for it is "partial 16S ribosomal RNA". It matches the Rfam family "Bacterial small subunit ribosomal RNA", at positions 1379 to 1482 of the family's 1533-position model. The record is from RNAcentral.